This 69-nucleotide non-coding RNA is filed under the name unclassified sequences. RNAcentral describes it as "L2-Alphaproteobacteria ribosomal protein leader". It matches the Rfam family "L2-Alphaproteobacteria ribosomal protein leader". The record is from RNAcentral.
GGCCACCUUAGGGGGGCUUCACCAUAGGCAGAGUAAAACUUUGCCGUACAAGCAAACGGAAGACAGAAA